GAUCAGGCUCAGGAUGAACGCUAGCUACAGGCUUAACACAUGCAAGUCGAGGGGCAGCAUGGUCUUAGCUUGCUAAGGCCAAUGGCGACCGGCGCACGGGUGAGUAACGCGUAUCCAACCUGCCUUACACUCUUGGACAGCCUUCUGAAAGGGAGAUUAAUACAAGAUGUUAUCAUGAGUAAGCAUUUUCACAUGAUUAAAGGUUUACCGGUGUAAGAUGGGGAUGCGUUCCA
RNAcentral lists this ribosomal RNA (233 nucleotides) under uncultured bacterium. RNAcentral's name for it is "partial 16S ribosomal RNA". It matches the Rfam family "Bacterial small subunit ribosomal RNA", at positions 15 to 240 of the family's 1533-position model. The record is from RNAcentral.